RNAcentral lists this ribosomal RNA (166 nucleotides) under uncultured eukaryote. RNAcentral describes it as "partial 18S ribosomal RNA". It matches the Rfam family "Eukaryotic small subunit ribosomal RNA", at positions 1487 to 1650 of the family's 1831-position model. The record is from RNAcentral.
CCGCACGCGCGCUACAAUGAGGGACGCAGUGUGCCCGCAAAGCCUGACCCGAAAGGGUUGGGUAAUCAUUUAAAUUUCCCUCGUAAUAGGGAUUGAACAUUGUAACUAUUGCUCAUGAACGAGGAAUUCCUAAUAAGCGCGAGUCAUAAUCUUGCGUUGACUACGU